RNAcentral lists this ribosomal RNA (474 nucleotides) under uncultured bacterium. RNAcentral's name for it is "bacterial SSU rRNA". It matches the Rfam family "Bacterial small subunit ribosomal RNA", at positions 100 to 573 of the family's 1533-position model. The record is from RNAcentral.
GCACGGGUGAGUAACACGUAUCCAACCUGCCUCAUACUCGGGGAUAGCCUUUCGAAAGAAAGAUUAAUAUCCGAUAGCAUAUAUUUCCCGCAUGGGUUUUAUAUUAAAGAAAUUCGGUAUGAGAUGGGGAUGCGUUCCAUUAGUUUGUUGGCGGGGUAACGGCCCACCAAGACUACGAUGGAUAGGGGUUCUGAGAGGAAGGUCCCCCACAUUGGAACUGAGACACGGUCCAAACUCCUACGGGAGGCAGCAGUGAGGAAUAUUGGUCAAUGGACGCGAGUCUGAACCAGCCAAGUAGCGUGAAGGAUGACUGCCCUAUGGGUUGUAAACUUCUUUUAUAUGGGAAUAAAGUGGUCCACGUGUGGAUUUUUGUAUGUACCAUAUGAAUAAGGAUCGGCUAACUCCGUGCCAGCAGCCGCGGUAAUACGGAGGAUCCGAGCGUUAUCCGGAUUUAUUGGGUUUAAAGGGAGCGUA